AGAGUGAACGCUGGCGGUAGGCCUAACACAUGCAAGUCGAACGGCAGCACAGGAGAGCUUGCUCUCUGGGUGGCGAGUGGCGGACGGGUGAGUAAAGCCUAGGAAUCUGCCUGGUAGUGGGGGGAUAACGCUCGGAAACGGACGCUAAUACCGCAUACGUCCUACGGGAGAAAGCAGGGGACCUUCGGGCCUUGCGCUAUCAGAUGAGCCUAGGUCGGAUUAGCUAGUUGGUGAGGUAAUGGCUCACCAAGGCGACGAUCCGUAACUGGUCUGAGAGGAUGAUCAGUCACACUGGAACUGAGACACGGUCCAGACUCCUACGGGAGCAGCAGUGGGAAUAUGGACAAUGGGACGAAAGCCUGAUCCAGCCAUCGCCGCGUGUGUGAAGUAGGUCUUCGGAUUGAAAGCUAACGUUUAAGGUGGAAGGAGGCAAUUAACUAAUACGUUAGUGUUUAGACGUUACGA
This 465-nucleotide ribosomal RNA is filed under the name uncultured soil bacterium. RNAcentral describes it as "bacterial SSU rRNA". It matches the Rfam family "Bacterial small subunit ribosomal RNA", at positions 26 to 480 of the family's 1533-position model. The record is from RNAcentral.